UGAUCCUGGCUCAGGAUGAACGCCGGCGGUGUGCCUAAUACAUGCAAGUCGUACGCACUGGCCCAACUGAUUGAUGGUGCUUGCACCUGAUUGACGAUGGAUCACCUGUGAGUGGCGGACGGGUGAGUAACACGUAGGUAACCUGCCCCGGAGCGGGGGAUAACAUUUGGAAACAGAUGCUAAUACCGCAUAACAACAAAAGCCACAUGGCUUUUGUUUGAAAGAUGGCUUUGGCUAUCACUCUGGGAUGGACCUGCGGUGCAUUAGCUAGUUGGUAAGGUAGCGGCUUACCAAGGCGAUGAUGCAUAGCCGAGUUGAGAGACUGAUCGGCCACAAUGGAACUGAGACACGGUCCAUACUCCUACGGGAGGCAGCAGUAGGGAAUCCUCCACAAUGGGCGCAAGCCUGAUGGAGCAACACCGCGUGAGUGAAGAAGGGUUUCGGCUCGUAAAGCUCUGUUGUUGGAGAAGAACGUGCGUGAGAGUAACUGUUCACGCAGUGACGGUAUCCAACCAGAA
This 518-nucleotide ribosomal RNA is filed under the name uncultured bacterium. RNAcentral describes it as "bacterial SSU rRNA". It matches the Rfam family "Bacterial small subunit ribosomal RNA", at positions 14 to 488 of the family's 1533-position model. The record is from RNAcentral.